GACGACCCGUGCGAACGUUAUUCGGCUUUAUUGGGCUUAAAGAGUGCGUAGGUGGCAGUGUAAGUCGGGGGUGAAAUACUAUCGGCUCAACCGUGGAAUUGCCUUCGAUACUGCAUUGCUUGAGGGGGAUAGGGGCAAGUGGAACUUCCGGUGGAGCGGUGAAAUGUGUUGAGAUCGGAAGGAACGCCAGUGGCGAAGGCAGCUCGCUGGGACGUAACUGACGCUGAGACGCGAAGGCCAGGGGAGCAAACGGG
Molecule: ribosomal RNA, 254 nt
Filed under: uncultured bacterium
Lineage: Bacteria
Description: partial 16S ribosomal RNA
Rfam family: Bacterial small subunit ribosomal RNA
Source: RNAcentral